This is a non-coding RNA of Melanomma pulvis-pyrius CBS 109.77, 78 nucleotides long. The record is from the annotation of a GenBank genome assembly. Lineage: Eukaryota; Fungi; Ascomycota; Dothideomycetes; Pleosporales; Melanommataceae.
GCCGUGAUAGUGUAGCGGUAUCACAGUGCCUUGUGGAACGACACGGCACUAACCUGGGUUCGACUCCCAGUCGCGGCA